Molecule: long non-coding RNA, 427 nt
Filed under: Nicotiana benthamiana
Lineage: Eukaryota; Viridiplantae; Streptophyta; Magnoliopsida; Solanales; Solanaceae
Description: long non-coding RNA (NBEN_LNC037640)
Source: RNAcentral
AUAAUUUAGAACAAAGAAGAAAUAUUCUUAAUAGAAGUAUAAGUAGAAGGAAUCUAAACAUAAUACCUAGAAUUAGGAAAAAUAUAUCAGACGAAUAUUUAGAAAAACAAUAUUAUAUAAAAAGGAAGAAUAAUAAGAAAUGGAAUAAGAAUACUAGUACCAAUCUUAUUUGCUACUAAUGCAGGAGAAAAUUAUAUAGCUGAACAACUAAUAAGUGAGAUUGAUAAGAUAGAAGAAAGUCAUCACACAUAUACUAAUUUUAUUACACAACAAGAAGAAACAAGUAUGGAAAAAAUAAAUAGCCCAAUAGUAAUACAAUGAUUAUUAUUCAACAUAAAUUUAGAAGUAAUGGAUAAUGAACCAGUAAUUAUACUAGGAAUUAAAUGGUUAAAUAUGGUAGAACUAUGGAAUCUAACAGAAUCUGAAU